RNAcentral lists this ribosomal RNA (270 nucleotides) under uncultured bacterium. Its description in RNAcentral is "partial 16S ribosomal RNA". It matches the Rfam family "Bacterial small subunit ribosomal RNA", at positions 29 to 290 of the family's 1533-position model. The record is from RNAcentral.
AGCGAACGCUGGCGGCGUGCUUAACACAUGCAAGUCGAGUGCGCAGUUCCUGUAGCAAUACAGGGGCGGGCGCACGGCGCACGGGUGAGUAACACGUGGGCAAUCUGCCCUCGGAUGGGGGAUAACCCCGCGAAAGCGGGGCUAAUACCGCAUGACAUUCCGGAGACCCCGGUCUCUGGAUUCAAAGCCGUAAGGCGUCUGAGGAGGAGCCCGCGCCCGAUUAGCUUGUUGGUGAGGUAACGGCUCACCAAGGCUUUGAUCGGUAGCCGG